AUGUACCAGUAUUUGGAAGGAAGGAAAUACUUGGUUGUUCUUGAUGAUCUCUCGUCCACCACAGAAUGGGAUGCUAUAAAACAACAUUUCCCUCCAACAGGCACAGCAAACCGGAUCAUAAUCACGACAAGAAAAGAGGAUAUUGCGAAGCAUUGUUCGAAGAGGCAUAAGAAUAUAUACAACCUCCAGGGGCUGGUAUACAAAAAUGCCCUUGACCUCUUCACACAGAAGGUAUUUGGCAAGAUUACAAAUUUGGAUGAGCAAUAUCCAGAGUUGGUUGAACAAGCAAAGCUGAUCCUAAAGAAGUGCAGUGGACUUCCCCUUGCAAUAGUCACCAUAGGUGGUUUCUUGGCAAACCAACAAAACACACCUUUGGAAUGGAGGAAGUAGAAUGAGAAUAUUAGUGCUGAGUUGGAACUGAAUCCAGACCUUGGGCCCAUAAUGACAGUCCUUAAUAAAAGCUUUGAUGGCCUACCAUACUAUCUUAAGCCUUGUUUCUUGUAUAUGUCGAUCUUUCCAAAAGAUCGCGAGGUCAGUCGGCGCCGUUUGGUGCGUCGGUGGAUUGCAGAGGGUUAUUCAAGGGAGGUGUGUGGUAGGUCUGCAGAGGAAAUAGCAGAGGGCGACUUCAUGGAACUCGUAAGCAGGAGCAUGCUCCUACCAUCUCAACAAUCAAUUCAUGGUAGAAAAGGAAUUGAUGCAUGCCAGGUCCAUGAUCUAAUCCAUGAAAUCAGCAUCAAGAAGUCAACUGAAGAAAAUUUUGUUUUCACACUGGAGGAAGGUUACGGCUUAAGCAGACGAGCCACAGUUCGGCACCUUGCUAUAAGCUAAAAUUGGAAGGGAGAUCAAAGUCAGUUCGAGAGCAUAGUGGACUUGUCCCGUGUGAGAUCAAUAACAGUUUUGGGGAAGUGGAAGCCAUUUUUUAUUUCUGACAAGAUGAGGUUGCUACGAGUGCUGGACCUAGAAGGCACACCAGGCCUAGCUGAUCACCACCUUCAGCACAUUGGGAAGCUUCUUCACCUCAAAUAUUUUUCCAUAAGAGGAUGUGAUGAUAUUCAUCACCUGCCACACUCCUUGGGUAACCUGAGGCAACUCCAUACACUAGAUGUCAGGGAUACGAGAAUACUAAAGCUGCCAAAGACCAUCAUCAAACUUCGGAUGUUAACCUAUCUCCGCCUUGGUAGGAAAUCGAUUGACAAAAAGGUGUCAUAUGAGAAACUUGAAGAGAAGCUCGCAAAUUCAAUGGGCAACAACAGACUAUGUCUAUUGACUUCAGGGUCAGUGAUGCUUUGUGCAGCUUGUUGUGCACCCCGUCAUUUAGGUUAUUCUGAAGACAUGAACCGCCAUGACGUAUGUACUGUUGCUUGCUGUGCUAGACUCCCUGCUGUUGCCAAGCGUCUGGACAGGUAUGGAGUUCUAGCUCCUAGAGGGAUGAGGAAACUGAUCGGCUUGCACACACUGGGGGUUGUAAAUGUUGCACGGGCGGUAGUCAUUCAGGACAUAAAAAAACUGACCUGGUUGCGCAAGUUAGCAGUAACUGGCAUCAACGGGAGAAAUGGUGAAAAUUUUUGUUCAACAAUCAAUAAUCUCAACCGUCUUGAGUCAUUGUCAAUACGGUCAGAGGGAGAGCCUGGAUUGUGUGAAUGUUUGCACUGGAUGACCUCGCCCCCGGAAAACCUCCAGAGCCUCAAGCUGUACGGUAAUCUGAUCAAACUGCCAAGAUGGGUCCAGAGGCUCCAGAAUCUUGUGAAGCUGAAUUUACGGAGCACCAGGCUAUCGGGGCAUGAUGGUGAUGUGGAAGUUCUUGGGAGGAUGCCAAAUCUGGCCAUCCUGCAUUUGUUGGAGAAGUCAUUUCAGGGUGAAGAGCUUCGUUUCCAGAUUGGGAUUUUCAGAAGCCUCACAGUUCUUGUGUUUGGAAACUUUGGGGACAUCAAAUUGGUGAAGUUUGACCAAGGAGCAAUGCCUAAGCUUGAGCAACUACAGGUCAGGAAUGACUGGAGGGUAAGUGCUGAAAAUGGUUGUUCUGGGAAUGAAGUUGCAUUUUCAGGGCUAGACUUUCUCCCAAGCAUCAAGGAAGCCCGGUUAUGGUUAAACAUUAUCCCGGAUGAACAACUCAAGGAAAUACCAGAUGAAGUAUUCCUCAAGGCCAGCAACUUUGAGGAACACUUUCGGACCCAGCUUGCCAACAAUCCAAGGAACCCCAUUCUGAAGGUGGGUGAGCUCGAGAACCAGAACUAA
This 2235-nucleotide ribosomal RNA is filed under the name Triticum aestivum (bread wheat). Its description in RNAcentral is "partial small subunit ribosomal RNA". The record is from RNAcentral. Lineage: Eukaryota; Viridiplantae; Streptophyta; Magnoliopsida; Poales; Poaceae.